CAAGCCUCAUCCUCACUCCAGUGCCCUUGCAGUCAGAUUGCUGGGAGGGACUCAGGCCAAAAGUGAGCCGUUACUGCUCAAGCACUGACCACAGGAGUCCUUCACUGUGGAGCAGCUGGGCUCCGCUAGGCUGGCUACUGGCUUCUUUUAGAUGGCAGGUUUAAGUGAAUGAAGCAAAAGCACAUUUACAAAAGGGCACCUCUUAGAAAAGGGUGUGCAUAGGAUAAAGUGCUUUUACCUCCAGCUGAGUACCUGCAUUUCACUCCCUGUGGCAUUUUUCCUUCCUGCUUAACCAUCUUAGCCCAAAUCCAUGCAUAACAGAAGGGGUGAAUUUAUAAGAGUUCUGGACUUUUCCUUCUGCAGACCCCCUCAAAAGGGGGAAAGCUUUCGAAUAUUCAAUACAUUAUAUUACCAAGAGAGGACCAGUGUUACAGUACCUAUUAUCUUGAACCCUACCAGACCUCAAAAUUCUAAAUUAGGGGGCCAGGAGGUAGCAUAUGUGGUUAACUGCACAGUGUUCAGUAUAAGGAUCGUGAUUUAAGCCCCCAGCUCCCCACAUUCAGGGAGGAGGGUUGCUUCACAAGCGGUGAAGCAGGUCUGCAGGUGUCUUUUUUCCUCCCCCGACCUCCCCAUCUCAAUUUGUCUGUCAUAUCCAACAACAGCAGCAGCAACAGCAAUGGUAAAAAAGAUGGAAGACCAGAAACAGUGGAUUCUUAAUGAAGGCAGUGAGCCCCAGUAAUAACCCUGGAGGCAAAAAAAAAAAAAAUCCAAAUUAAAGGUGGCAGAAUCAGGGGGCCGGGUGGUGGCACACCUGGUUGAGCAUGCAUAUUACAGUGCAACAAGGGCCCAGGUUCCAGCCCCCAGUGGCCCCCUGCAGGGGCAAGCUUCAUGAGUGAAGCAAUGCUGUAGGCAUCUCCCCCUAUCACUCCCUUCCUUCUUGAUUUCUGGCUGUGUCUAUCCAAUAAAAUUAAAUUAAAAUCCCCCCCCUUUUGCCUCUAGGAUUAUCACUGGGGCUCAGUGCCAACAUUACCAAUCCAUUGCUCCUGGCAGCGACUCUUUCCAGUUUAUUGGAUAGGACAGAAACUGGAAAAGGAGGAAAGAUAAGACACCUGCAGACCUGAUUCACAGCUUGUGAAGUUACCCUCCCCCUAGCACCCGCAGAGAAAUUGAGAGUGGAAGAGAAUGAGAGACACCUGCAGCACUACUUCACAUUUGUGAGUGAGGCUUUCCUAUUGUGAGUGGGCACUGGGAGCUUGAAGCUUGGUCUUUGAAAAUGGGGGCAUGUGUACUCAAGCAGGUGAUUCAGCAAAGGAGUUUCAUUAGCUCUUGAGAAGAGAAUCAAGCAACAGGAGAGACAAUAAGGUAUAAUAAGCAAAAACUUCUAAAACAAAUGAAGUUACCUGUAGAUCGAUCAACAGUAAUACCCCUGGUGUAAGGCACCAAAGUAAAAGCCUCUGGGGUGGGUUGGGGGGAGAGUACAAGUCCAAAAAGAGUGACAGAGGACCUAGUGGGGAUUGUACUGUUAUGUGGAAAACUGAGAAAUGUUAUGCAUGUACAAACUAUUAUACUUACUGUUGACUGUAAAACAGUAAUCCCCCAAUAAACAAAUUUAAAAAAAUCAA
Molecule: long non-coding RNA, 1622 nt
Organism: Erinaceus europaeus (western European hedgehog)
Lineage: Eukaryota; Metazoa; Chordata; Mammalia; Eulipotyphla; Erinaceidae
Exons: 2
Source: RefSeq, a predicted model, not a curated record